AUGCAUAGAUCUCCACUACAGGGUCUUGAUAUUCUUGAAAUUGGAGACGAGCAGUUUCCUGCAAGCCUCGAGUAUGAUGACAAGUACGACCUCGAGAUGGUCUGCGCGAUACAUCUCUGUUUCUCGCACUACCACUCCAAGGUUUCAGGGGAGGACAUGCUCGAGUUUGUCAAGCAAAAGCUUGGCAUCAGGGUCGGUGCCGGUACCGGCCGGAGCUCGGUGAAGCGCAGGCCUGAGGAUUCAGAUUUAUGGCAGGGACACAAUCAAAUUUAUACCAUACGUUGUGAUGAUACAAGGAAAGUAAACAUAGAUGCAUAUUUUGUUCAACGUUACGAUACAAGGGAGAGUUGGCCUACGUCGCCAACUGAUCUGCGGCAGCGUGGAAGGAGAGUUCAAAAGCAGCAGGAGCGGCUGUUCUACUGCUGGUCGGAGGGAGAGCUUGGCAAGGGAGACAGAGGGAGCUCUACAACCACGAUCUUGGCAUACAACCCGAUGGCAUCAUGUCCACGGAGCAAACUGCGUAGCAAGAUCAAUAAUGAAUGGUUCAAGUCAUGUAUUACAAGUUACAAUGAGCAGGAGGUAGUCAAGUCAGUUGAUGAUAAGGAUAUUAUUCGAACAUUUACUGCAAUGACGUCUCGGAAAGGGCAUUUGCCUUGUGAUUGUCUUUAG
Molecule: ribosomal RNA, 669 nt
Filed under: Triticum aestivum (bread wheat)
Lineage: Eukaryota; Viridiplantae; Streptophyta; Magnoliopsida; Poales; Poaceae
Description: partial small subunit ribosomal RNA
Source: RNAcentral